GUGUAGCGGUGAAAUGCGUAGAGAUGUGGAGGAACACCAGUGGCGAAGGCGACUCUCUGGUCUGUAACUGACGCUGAGGAGCGAAAGCGUGGGGAGCGAACAGGAUUAGAUACCCUGGUAGUCCACGCCGUAAACGAUGAGUGCUAAGUGUUAGGGGGUUUCCGCCCCUUAGUGCUGCAGCUAACGCAUUAAGCACUCCGCCUGGGGAGUACGGUCGCAAGACUGAAACUCAAAGGAAUUGACGGGGGCCCGCACAAGCGGUGGAGCAUGUGGUUUAAUUCGAAGCAACGCGAAGAACCUUACCAGGUCUUGACAUCCUCUGACAAUCCUAGAGAUAGGACGUCCCCUUCGGGGGCAGAGUGACAGGUGGUGCAUGGUUGUCGUCAGCUCGUGUCGUGAGAUGUUGGGUUAAGUCCCGCAACGAGCGCAACCCUUGAUCUUAGUUGCCAGCAUUCAGUUGGGCACUCUAAGGUGACUGCCGGUGACAAACCGGAGGAAGGUGGGGAUGACGUCAAAUCAUCAUGCCCCUUAUGACCUGGGCUACACACGUGCUACAAUGGACAGAACAAAGGGCAGCGAAACCGCGAGGUUAAGCCAAUCCCACAAAUCUGUUCUCAGUUCGGAUCGCAGUCUGCAACUCGACUGCGUGAAGCUGGAAUCGCUAGUAAUCGCGGAUCAAAAGGCCGCGGUGAAUACGUUCCCGGGCCUUGUACACA
This 716-nucleotide ribosomal RNA is filed under the name Bacillus subtilis. RNAcentral's name for it is "bacterial SSU rRNA". It matches the Rfam family "Bacterial small subunit ribosomal RNA", at positions 673 to 1389 of the family's 1533-position model. Lineage: Bacteria; Bacillati; Bacillota; Bacilli; Caryophanales; Bacillaceae. The record is from RNAcentral.